UAGGGAAUCUUCGGCAAUGGGGGGAACCCUGACCGAGCAACGCCGCGUGAGUGAAGAAGGUUUUCGGAUCGUAAAGCUCUGUUGUUAAGGAAGAACGAGUGUGAGAAUGGAAAGUUCAUACUGUGACGGUACUUAACCAGAAAGGGACGGCUAACUACGUGCCAGCAGCCGCGGUAAUACGUAGGUCCCGAGCGUUGUCCGGAUUUAUUGGGCGUAAAGCGAGCGCAGGCGGUUAGAUAAGUCUGAAGUUAAAGGCAGUGGCUCAACCAUUGUAGGCUUUGGAAACUGUUUAACUUGAGUGCAGAAAGGGAGAGUGGAAUUCCAUGUGUAGCGGUGAAAUGCGUAGAUAUAUGGAGGAACACCGGUGGCGAAAGCGGCUCUCUGGUCUGUAACUGACGCUGAGGCUCGAAAGCGUGGGGAGCGAACAGG
This 429-nucleotide ribosomal RNA is filed under the name Bacteroidota bacterium. RNAcentral's name for it is "Bacteroidetes bacterium partial 16S ribosomal RNA". It matches the Rfam family "Bacterial small subunit ribosomal RNA", at positions 355 to 776 of the family's 1533-position model. The record is from RNAcentral. Lineage: Bacteria; Pseudomonadati; Bacteroidota.